CAAUAAGUCCCGAAGUACAGUUCACACUUCACACUUCAAUCCGGAUGGCCAGACCGGUUAUCUUUCGCUGACACUCUGCUUUUACUGUCUUGAUACUUGAUACUUGAUAGCAAUGGAGGCAUCAAGUUGCCGCGCCUCUUCUGUCUUUUCGACUCGUUUCUACGAGCAUAAGAAGAGAAUUUCGCCACCCAUUCCACUUUCGGCACGAGUUACUGCCUCUGCGUCGCUCCUCACGGCUUCUUCUCCAAGAAACCAAGCAAUUUCCAAGACAACUCCGCAACACCCUGCUCGCAAAUCAGGGCCUCCGAGAGAUUCGAGCAGAAUUCAGAAGGAAGUUUCUCCUCAUAGAGCUGUCUCUGCUGUGAGAUUGAUGCGUAUAGAAUUUGGUGGUGCUUUUGCUGACCUUUUGAAUGAGCAAGGGAAGGGUUCAGGGAAAAGUGAAAUGGGAUAUGUUGAAAGGACUCUUGGGUUUUGCACUCGCGAGUUAGAUGAUAGAGAUUUAAGACUGGUAACAGAGAUUGUUGGAGGUACCAUUCGCUGGAGGAGAUACCUUGAUUAUUUGAUUCUUUCACUGUGCCAUGAUGAGAAUACAUUCAGAGGCAUGGAGCCUCUUUUGCUACAGAUUCUUCGAAUUGGUUUCUAUGAGAUCGUCAAAUUAGAAAUGCCACCUUAUGCAGUGGUAGAUGAGAAUGUUAAGCUUGCAAAAUUUGCUCUCAGACCUGGUGCUGGUAACAUGGUAAAUGGGAUUCUAAGGAAGCUAGUCUUUCUUAAGGAAAAUGAUUCCCUUCCUGAAGUGAAAAUUGAAGGUAACGAUCGCCAGCAAGCGCGUGCUCUCAGCACUCUUUACUCUCACCCAGUUUGGAUGGUGAGACGAUGGACAAAAUAUUUUGGACUUGAAGAAGCUAUUAAGCUGAUGGUAUGGAACAACAACGAUCCAAGUUUCAGCCUCAGGGCAAAUACUGGAAAAGGUUUAACAAGGGAUGACCUUGUGACACGCCUUACAAUGUUGAAGGUUCAACAUGAGCCUUCUCCCUACUUGGACGAUUUUGUUCGUAUCAAAACAGGAAUGCAGAAUGUCAUUCAAGGUGGUUUACUAAAAGAAGGCUUUUGUUCGGUCCAGGAUGAGAGUGCAGGGUUGGUGGUUUCUAUUGUUGAUCCAAAACCUGGUGAGAGCAUUAUUGAUUGUUGUGCUGCUCCGGGAGGAAAAACCCUUUUCAUGGCAUCCCGCUUGAGAGGCCAAGGCAUGGUGUUUGCAGUCGACAUAAAUAAAGGCCGAUUAAGGAUCCUCAAAGAGACAGCAAGAUUGCAUGAAACUAUCGAUGUCAUCACAACUGUUCAUGCUGAUCUUCGUAAAUUUUCUGGCAGUAAUGCUGUCAAAUCUGACAAAGUUUUGCUAGAUGCUCCUUGUUCAGGAUUGGGAGUUCUUUCUAAGCGAGCAGAUUUACGUUGGAAUAGACGACUCGAGGAUAUGGAACAACUUAAGAAUUUACAAGAUGAACUUCUUGAUUCAGCUUCGACGUUGGUGAGGCCAGGUGGAGCGCUAAUAUACAGCACUUGCUCCAUUGAUCCGGAAGAGAAUGAAGAAAGAGUUGAAGCUUUUCUUCUGAGGCAUCCAGAGUUCUACAUUGAUCCAGUAGACAAAUACGUUCCCUCAGAAUUUGUGACCAGAAAGGGUUUCUAUGCCUCGAAUCCUGUCAAGCAUGCAGUUGAUGGAGCCUUUGCUGCUCGUCUCAUUUUAUCUCGAUAAAGUCGAGAAUAGUAAGUUUUGGUGAUUGUAUGACACUGGAUAUUAUAUUCGCUUGAAUUGUGAUUAUUGCUAAGAGAUGUAACAACAUUUGAAGGGUCAUUGUACUUCCAAAAUUGAUUGGUGAAGACUGAAGACUAAAGAGAGGGUCUCUAUUCUGUAGGCUAAUGCUAAAUAUGUACAAA
This is an RNA transcript of Ipomoea nil (Japanese morning glory), 1929 nucleotides long. It is a transcript of the gene named ribosomal RNA small subunit methyltransferase B, with no coding region annotated. The record is from RefSeq and is a predicted model, not a curated record. NCBI's taxonomy places the organism in Eukaryota, Viridiplantae, Streptophyta, Magnoliopsida, Solanales, Convolvulaceae. The transcript has 18 exons.